GAUAGGUAGGUGCGAAGUCUUCUUAAGAGCCCAUACAAGAAAGGACAAAGUUGUCCAGUAUCCUGAUCUUGCUGAAAAACUAGAUGAGCUUUAUAGUAGCAAUCCUGCUUCUAGGAUGACCGGCAUGGAUGAUGCCCUUAUAGAGUUGAUUGGUUCUGACAAUAGAGGGCGAAUGCGGGGUCUAGGUUGCUCAAUAAACAAGGUAAGACUGAAGAAGUCAGCCCCUACUUGUUCAAAGGUAGAGAAUGUGAUAAAAGAAAAAGAAAGC
Magnolia sinica is the source of this 268-nucleotide long non-coding RNA. RefSeq lists it as uncharacterized. The record is from RefSeq and is a predicted model, not a curated record. The transcript has 3 exons. Lineage: Eukaryota; Viridiplantae; Streptophyta; Magnoliopsida; Magnoliales; Magnoliaceae.